This is a non-coding RNA of Danio aesculapii, 81 nucleotides long. NCBI's taxonomy places the organism in Eukaryota, Metazoa, Chordata, Actinopteri, Cypriniformes, Danionidae. The record is from the annotation of a RefSeq genome assembly.
GCCGAAAUAGCUCAGUUGGGAGAGCGUUAGACUGAAGAUCUAAAGUUGGUUCGAUCCCUGGUUCGAUCCCGGGUUUCGGCA